Molecule: ribosomal RNA, 517 nt
Filed under: Staphylococcus pasteuri
Lineage: Bacteria; Bacillati; Bacillota; Bacilli; Caryophanales; Staphylococcaceae
Description: bacterial SSU rRNA
Rfam family: Bacterial small subunit ribosomal RNA
Source: RNAcentral
GGCGUGCACGCUGGCGGCGUGCCUAAUACAUGCAGUCGAGCGAACAGAUAAGGAGCUUGCUCCUUUGACGUUAGCGGCGGACGGGUGAGUAACACGUGGAUAACCUACCUAUAAGACUGGGAUAACUUCGGGAAACCGGAGCUAAUACCGGAUAACAUAUUGAACCGCAUGGUUCAAUAGUGAAAGGCGGCUUUGCUGUCACUUAUAGAUGGAUCCGCGCCGUAUUAGCUAGUUGGUAAGGUAACGGCUUACCAAGGCAACGAUACGUAGCCGACCUGAGAGGGUGAUCGGCCACACUGGAACUGAGACACGGUCCAGACUCCUACGGGAGGCAGCAGUAGGGAAUCUUCCGCAAUGGGCGAAAGCCUGACGGAGCAACGCCGCGUGAGUGAUGAAGGUCUUCGGAUCGUAAAACUCUGUUAUCAGGGAAGAACAAAUGUGUAAGUAACUGUGCACAUCUUGACGGUACCUGAUCAGAAAGCCACGGCUAACUACGUGCCAGCAGCCGGUUAAUUAC